UUGCAGCAGCUUCGCCACCCCCACGGCC
RNAcentral lists this small RNA (28 nucleotides) under Bombyx mori (domestic silkworm). Its description in RNAcentral is "ovarian small RNA-37799". The record is from RNAcentral. Lineage: Eukaryota; Metazoa; Arthropoda; Insecta; Lepidoptera; Bombycidae.